GGUUAUGGCUCAGAGGCAGAGCGCUUGCCUAGCAUGUGUGAGGCCCUGGGUUCGAUCCUCAGCACCA
Molecule: transfer RNA, 67 nt
Filed under: Marmota monax (woodchuck)
Lineage: Eukaryota; Metazoa; Chordata; Mammalia; Rodentia; Sciuridae
Description: tRNA.Ala
Source: RNAcentral